Molecule: ribosomal RNA, 562 nt
Filed under: uncultured bacterium
Lineage: Bacteria
Description: bacterial SSU rRNA
Rfam family: Bacterial small subunit ribosomal RNA
Source: RNAcentral
CCUACGGGAGGCAGCAGUGGGGAAUAUUGGACAAUGGGCGAAAGCCUGAUCCAGCAAUGCCGCGUGAGUGAUGAAGGCCUUCGGGUCGUAAAGCUCUUUUACCAGGGAUGAUAAUGACAGUACCUGGAGAAUAAGCUCCGGCUAACUCCGUGCCAGCAGCCGCGGUAAUACGGAGGGAGCUAGCGUUGUUCGGAAUUACUGGGCGUAAAGAGUACGUAGGCGGUUAUUCAAGUCAGAGGUGAAAGCCCGGGGCUCAACCCCGGAACUGCCUUUGAAACUAGAUAACUAGAGUCUUGGAGAGGUUAGUGGAAUUCCGAGUGUAGAGGUGAAAUUCGUAGAUAUUCGGAAGAACACCGGUGGCGAAGGCGACUAACUGGACAAGUACUGACGCUGAGGUACGAAAGCGUGGGGAGCAAACAGGAUUAGAUACCCUGGUAGUCCACGCCGUAAACGAUGAUAACUAGUUGUUCGGUCACUUGGUGACUGAGUGACGCAGCUAACGCAUUAAGUUAUCCGCCUGGGGAGUACGGUCGCAAGAUUAAAACCUUAAAGGAAUUGACGG